GUGAUGAUCGUUGCUGCUGUCCCCAGUGCCCAGCAUUGGCUAGGAAAGAGUCUGCUUCUUCCAGCUGCCUUGAUGAAACCAGGACUCCUAACAAUAUGAGACUCUACUAAAGAGAAUGACUUAUUCUUAUCAGUGUUUCGGGUCUCACUGAUCUCUGGCCUUGUGGACCCAAAUGAAAACCAUGAGUGCAACAUUGGCUCUGUCAUCUCUGUCUCUGUUGCUGGCUCUGGAGCAGCAGGGUUGCUCUCUACCUCAGGCCCCAUCUUCCAGCUCCAGGCCCAGCGUGGAUGCCCAGUAACACCUGUGCACAGAUCGACUCAGAUAAGCGUCAACCUAAUAGAAUAUGACGGAACUGAAGAUCGUUUUUUUUUUGGUACCGGGGAUCGAACUCCAGUCCUUGUGCUUGCCAGGCAAGCGGCAGAACCACUGAGCUAAAUCCAUGGAACUGGAACUGAAGAUCUUCACAGCCAACCAUCAUGUCUUCUUCUUUGAGGACGAGCAUCCUCUACUCUUCUGAUUGCUCCCCAGAUGUCAUGGUUUGUCAUCUCAGGUUUUCAUUUUUCUUUGUACACACGUAUUGCUUUGGGGGUGGGACCACAGCUGACUCUAGUUAGGGAAAUUGACCUUGUAAACAGGUGUCAGGUAAAGAUUGCUGGUCAGGGAUUCAAUAGCAAAGCUGUGAGGGAAGGAAGUGCAGGAUUAGAUGAGGGCAGUCCUGGCAAACCUUCUAGAGUUUUCAAUGAGAACUAACAGUCAGCUGUGGCACACAUUCACCACCACUGGAACAGGACAGGAGGAAACAGGGAGAAGGAGUCAGCAGUCAGGACUCCUCAGCCAUGUGGUUGUGAGGGCAGUGAGUAAGAUGGCAGCUCCAGGCUGCCAUCCUCUGAGCUUUGCACAUCCUCCACUAAGGAGAACACCUGAUGGGUAUGGCUUGGGGCACAGCAACAUCCCUGCGCUCAUCAUUGUGACUGGGACAUCUCAGAUGAUACCCGUGUUGUGAGGCUCUGCUUCGGGAAUGCACUGUGGUGGCUGGAAAGCCCCUGUGUGCAGUCAGGAGGCCGGGAGAGGCAGUUCUGCAAAGCAGGGGGUGUUGUUUCCGGGAAAAGAGGGCAAAGCUUCCUGGUACUCCAAACCAGCAGACGUCUUCUACUGAAUUGUUUGAAGAGGAACUAGGGGUAGGAAGAGUGACUGAAGGGAGCCCACGGUGGACUCAGCCUGAGCUUUACAAUUUAGCCACUGCCAUUGGGAGGAUCCAGUUUCUCUGCCAGGGGUCUGUCCCUUUCGAAGGCUUUACUGUGCUCUUGAAGAACGGCACUUAUACAACACUGAAGUGUGCUUUCUGAGCAGCUUAACGAAAACGGGCUAUGGAAUUGCAGAACAAGGCCAUGUCCGAAGGCGAGUGAGAAGCCACCCAGGGCUGUCUUCUGGAUAAAAGCUGGGAGGAGGGACAGA
Molecule: long non-coding RNA, 1455 nt
Filed under: Heterocephalus glaber (naked mole-rat)
Lineage: Eukaryota; Metazoa; Chordata; Mammalia; Rodentia; Bathyergidae
Description: lncRNA (ENSHGLG00000041197.1)
Source: RNAcentral